This 68-nucleotide transfer RNA is filed under the name Peltonotellus sp. RNAcentral describes it as "tRNA-Ile". Lineage: Eukaryota; Metazoa; Arthropoda; Insecta; Hemiptera; Caliscelidae. The record is from RNAcentral.
AGUAAGAUGCCUGAAAAAAAGGAUUAUUUUGAUAUAAUAAAUCAAGUGUAUUAAAAUCACUCUUACUA